GGAGCGGCGCGGAGCGGAGUGCGCGGAUCCCGGCGCGCUCCGCCCGGGACAGCGGGUGCCGCCGCCGCCGUCCGCCGCCCUGGGCGCAGUAUCUGAAGUUCUGCUCACCUUCAGAGAGCUAUAAGCACUGAGAUUCCCAGGAUGUAAGAAAUACAUGACUGUGUCAUGGAGCCAGCAGGUUUGCUGUUGAAGCUGAUGGUCGCAGCCGGCGCUGAAAUGCUUUAUUAAACGAAGUAGAGUGUAACAAUCCCGGGAGGUUGGAGUCAUUUGCGAGAACUUCCCCAUUUAUUGCUGCCUCUGCCAGAAAGUCACCAUUUGGGACAUUAGCGCACUGCAAACGGCUGCCAUGGCUAGCAAAAGAAAGUCAACAACUCCGUGUAUGGUGCGAACUUCUGAAGUAGUGGAGCAGGAAGCUGCUGAGGGCAUAGGAGCUCCUAAAGAAAAGAGGACUGCCGCACCGCAGCAGGACGCUAAAAAAAGCUGGCCUGCAGAAAGCUCGGUAAAAGACUGUGAAGUCAUUGAGGCAAAGCCCCCAGCUGAAAAUCAAUCUAAGAAACCCCAGGGUGGUUACGAAUGUAAAUACUGCCCUUACUCAACACAAAACUUAAAUGAAUUUACAGAGCAUGUUGACACUCAGCAUCCAAACGUCAUUCUCAACCCCCUGUAUGUCUGUGCUGAAUGUAACUUCACAACCAAAAAAUACGAUUCCCUAUCUGACCACAAUACAAAAUAUCACCCAGGAGAGAGUAAUUUUAAAUUGAAAUUAAUAAAGCGCAAUAAUCAAACUGUUUUAGAGCAGUCUAUCGAGACCACCACCAACAAUGUCGCUGUCGCUAGCAGUGGGUUAGAAAAUGCAGAGUGUGAUGACUCGCUUCGUGGGGCGAUUAGUGCAAGUAAAACCCCAGUGAUGAAAUUGGGAAAGCCUAAAGCGGAAACCAAGAAGGGUCCCAAAAAGCCAGAAGAGGGACUUAUGGAAAACCACAUGGACGGGACUCUCCCUCGCAUCAUAACUGAAGCUACUGAAGCUAUUGCUUGUAUAAAUGGAGACCUUCUCCACGAUGUGUUAGCUCACGUUAUGCCCUCUGUACAGCUACCACCAAAUAUUAACCUUGUCCCCAAGGUCCCGGUACCUCUGAACAGUACCAAAUAUAACUCUGCACUGGACACUAAUGCAACCAUGAUCAACUCCUUUAAUAAAUUUCCUUACCCAACACAAGCAGAGUUGUCAUGGUUGACAGCAGCGUCAAAACAUCCAGAGGAGCAAAUCCGAAUCUGGUUCGCUACUCAGCGUCUGAAGCAUGGUAUAAGUUGGUCUCCAGAAGAAGUGGAGGAGGCAAGAAAAAAGAUGUUUAAUGGUACUAUCCAGGCAGUUCCCCAAACCAUUACUGUGCUACCAGCUCCUUUGACAACUGCAAAAAUGCCCCAGCCUAUUAUCCAGACAGCUUUGCCUUGUCAGAUACUGGGCCAAACCGGUCUGGUUUUGACUCCGGUGUCAAAUGGUUCAACAGUUUCUUGUUCACCAAUUACACUUGCUGUUGCUCCUAAUCAGGGGCAAAAGAGAACAAUACAGACCUUGUCAAAUAUCCCGGAGGCCAAACGUCCACAUGUUGUUCAGGUGCCCGAGAUUCCUGCCAAGCUGACUGCUGCACCACUGACUCCAGCAAGUGAGCGAAAAAAGACAAAGGAGCAGAUAGCAGAACUGAAGGCCAGUUUUAUGGCAAGCCAGUUUCCUGAUGAUGCAGAAAUCUACCGGCUGAUAGAGAUGACAGGUCUCUCCAGGAGUGAGAUCAAGAAGUGGUUCAGUGACCACAGGUACAGAAGUCAACGGGGCGUUGUGCAUGUGAAUAAUGACUCUUUGGCAAAAGAUCAAAUAGUGACUUCAGCUGGUCGACCUUGCCGUUCAUUCCACCCAUAUGCAGAUUUUACACCUCAUAGAUUUAAAGAGAAAACCCAGGAGCAGCUUAGAGUCCUUGAAGAGAGUUUCCUAAGAUGCUCUUUUCCAACCCAAGGAGAACUGGACAGGCUUCGAGUGGAAACUAAACUGAGUAGGAGGGAGAUUGAUUCGUGGUUCUCCGAGCGGAGGAAGAUAAGGGACAGUAUGGAGCAAGCUGUUUUGGACUCGAUGGGGUCAUACAGAAAAAUUAAAGAUCAAGGAACCCAAAAUGGUGCAAUAAGCCAGGCAGAACUGCUGAACAGCUCUCAGCUGCCUGGCUCUUUAUCUGGGUCCUCUGCCACGUUUAAUAAAAAAACCCAAGAGCAGAUUCAUCUACUGAAAAGCACAUUUGCGAGAACCCAGUGGCCAUCACCCCAGGAGUAUGACCAGUUAGCAUCUCAAACUGGGCUCUCAAGAACUGAAAUUGUUCGCUGGUUCAAGGAAAACCGGUCAUCACUAAGAACGGGGUCGCUUAAAUGGAUUGAUCAGUACCAACAGCAGUAUGUUGCUGAUGGUUAUAAUGAGCAAAACCAGAAAAGGGGGUCAAAACACAUUGAGAGCCCAAAGAAUGGUAACGAGGUGUCUCGGCAGCAUUACCAGGAGCAUAAAAAACUAAAUGAAGAGAACGGGGGGAAACUAGUUGUGAGAUCAAAAAGAGACUGUGAACCACUGAAAGACUCUUUGUUGGGCAAUCAGGCAGAGAGCACGGACAGGUUGGAGUGCAACAGCCACGACGGCCAUGGCAGCGAGGAGAACGAGGAGCCGGCAGAUGUGAACUGGGUGGAGGUGACAGUGGGUGAGGAUGAUGCUGCAUCGGACUGUACGGAUAGCUGGAGUCAAACAGCACCUGAAGGCCAGGCAGAACUGGCAGACUUUGAUUCUGAAAGUAUAUCUGGAGACAAUUCCCACGUAUAGACAGGGUUUCAUCCUUAGAGCCAGCUGUAGUGCCUCUUCCCGUUGCUGGGCUCCAGGCUGAAGCCGGCGUGGGAUUUUCACCGGGUUGGCCGAGGCUGUUCCGCGGGCGUCGCGAAGCAGCGGCGGCGCCGUUUCCCCUAAAGUCAGCGAGGCGCGUCGGAGCCCCAGCCUCUAAAGCAACGAAGCCAGAUGGGGGAGGAAGCGACGCUCGGUACAGCAAUUAGAAAUUGCCGAUGAGCUGGGAUGAAGGCGAAGGGGCGAGAAAAGCCUGCAGGGCCCGGAGGCUCUUUGCUGGGUUCUGAUCAGCUGCACUGUCCUGCCAAUGAAGGGGAAACGCUGUUUGGAAAUAGAAGAAAAAUCUAUUUUUCUGCCUGGGGUGAGAUAGUGUGUUGCAACUCCCAAGUCUCAAACCACGCUCGCGGAGGCACAGCGAGAGAUUCUCUUGUGGAGCAUCAUCAUGGGACUGUUCAUAGUGCCAAAGUCCUACUACUGCAUUACAAAAAAAGAGAGAGAGAGAGAGAAAAAGGAUCCUUGUAUAUAGGUUUCUCCUUUGCAUCCUCUCCCACCCACUUUCCUGCCCAGCCUCUUCCUGUACUGGAACAAAUUUGUACAAUGUGGAAAUUUUGUUAACUUUUUAAUGGGGGCAAGUUAUUCUUGCAUAUCACGCUGCUGCAAAAUUUUUGGAUUGGUUUGGGGGAGGGAGGUGUGUUUUGUGGGGAGAGGAGGCUUUUUUUGAAGUGUUUUCGGAAACGUUUGGAAUCCCUUGGGUGCAGAUCGGCGCCUGGUCCCAGGUUCCCACCCCAGCGAAGGGGUUGUUCUGGCUUAGUUGGGGGCGAGGGGAUGUUUCGAGGCUUUUUGUUUUGUUUUAUGGCCAUCUGCUACCAGUUGAAGUAUUUGAAUCUCUGCUUUUCUGUGCUCCUAUGAAGCAAGGCUUAUCCAGCUCCUGUCCUUCACUUCUCACAAACCAGCACAGGCCAUGGUUCUCUGAAAAUCUUGCUAGAAUGCCUUUUUUUUUUUUAGCACUUUUUGUUUAAACAUGCAGUACAAUCCCCAAAGGGGUUGCAGUGAGGAAAUCAAGAUGCUUCAUGAGCUGAACUUGUUUGCGUUUCUUUGGUUGGUACAAAGAUGGACAAUAUAAACAAAGUCUGCCCUCCGGCUUUAGGUAUUGUAGCGCACAAAAGAGAUUCCUGAUUAACCCUUGCCACUAAAUUUUUAGAUCAGUUCUAGAUUCCCGAGUGCACUUUUUUUCAAAUAGUGCUAAUUUUCUUUGUGUGGGGGUGUCUGUGCGUGCAUGUAUGAAGAAAAAUGAGGCGCGUGUGUACGUGUGUGUACAAGGAAGCGCGGGUGAGACCUGGGUGACGUGUUACUCUGACUAGCUGUUUUUUGAAAACAUGCCCAUAUUUCAGUACACUGCACAAUUAUAAUGCUAGGGAGUUUGAAUAAAUCCAACUUUUCUAACUUGUUGCUCAUUUGUUGUAACUCAAUAAAACAAAGGCUAAACAUUUUGGUAA
Molecule: RNA transcript, 4359 nt
Organism: Rhea pennata
Lineage: Eukaryota; Metazoa; Chordata; Aves; Rheiformes; Rheidae
Gene: ZHX2
Gene name: zinc fingers and homeoboxes 2
Exons: 5
Source: RefSeq, a predicted model, not a curated record